AUGGCCACCGCUGAUGUCCAGAACCCGACGGCCGCGCUGACGGAGGAGGCGCCCGCGGUGGAGACGCCCGUCGCCGCCGAGGAGGUUGCUAAGACAGAGGAGGUCCCCGCGCCGGUGGAGGCCGAAGUCGAGGCGCCUGCCCCCGUCGAGGUUGAGGCGACCAAGGAGGACGCACCGGCCGCCGCCGAGACGAAGGAGACCAAGGAGCCCGAGCCAGCAGCUGCUGCCGAGCCGGAGGCCGAGGCGCCGAAAGAGCCAGCCGUGGUCGAGACAGAGACCAAGGAGGCGGUGGCAGAGGCCGAGCCGGCGGUGGCAGAGGAGGUGAAGGAGGAGGCGGCGCCUGCUGCCGAGCCGGAGGUGGCGGCCGUCGCCGAGGAAGCACCUGCUGCUGCGGAGGAGGAGCCGGCCGCCGCGGUGGCCAGCGUCAGCGUGUGA
Molecule: ribosomal RNA, 435 nt
Filed under: Triticum aestivum (bread wheat)
Lineage: Eukaryota; Viridiplantae; Streptophyta; Magnoliopsida; Poales; Poaceae
Description: partial small subunit ribosomal RNA
Source: RNAcentral